AUGGCUCAGUGAGGCCUUGGGACUGGCUCAGAGAGGUCGGCAACGACCACUCAGAGCCGGAAACUUGGUCAAACUUGGUCAUUUAGAGGAAGUAAAAGUCGUAACAAGGUUUCCGUGCCUAACACCCUCCGGGGUUCGAGGCCGGGAUGAGAAGUGAUUCCUUCCACAGGUGGCGCUUCGGAAGCCUUAGCAGCCUGAAAAGGUGGCCCUCUGACGACGAUAAAAUAAAAAGAGGUGCUGAAAUGCUAGUCAGUUAGCACACUGGCGACACCGUCAAAUUGCGGGAACCCCCUAAAGACUUCUGCUACCAAGCAGUGCUGGGAAACCUCACUGUGGCCAGGGUAAUGACCUCGGGUAUGGUAACAACGCAGAGUAUGAUCCUCUGGUAUUCAGUGGUGAAAUGGGCAAUCUGCAGCCAAGUCCGUCGUGCUCCUCUGGGGUGCCGGAUGCCGUUCACAGGCCAAAUGGUGGUGGGUUGACUUGGGCAUCAAGUCAGCUUAAGAUAUGGUCGGACCCCUGGGAAACCUUGCGGGAUAGUCACCAUGUAGUUAAAUGGAGGCGGGGAGCGAAAAAGUGCAAGCUUCUCACCAUGGGCGACUACGACAACCAGCUAUACAGCACACACGCUCCUGGGCGUACCACAAAAAUGUUCCGUAGGUGAACCUGCGGAAGGAUCAUUAACGAGUUAAGGUCUUCCAGGCCUGACCUCCCAACCCUAUGUUUACUGAACCUUCGUUGCUUCGGCGGACCCGCCUCUCGGCCGCCGGAGGACCGCCUCACGGCGUCCUCUGGCCCGCGUCCGUCGACGGCCAAUCUCAAAAACGCUGAAAUAACCGUGUCGUCUGUCUCAGUCCCAUGAUUUAAAUUAAAGCAAAACUUUCAACAACGGAUCUCUUGGUUCUGGCAUCGAUGAAGAACGCAGCGAAAUGCGAUAAGUAAUGCGAAUUGCAGAAUUCCAGUGAGUCAUCGAAUCUUUGAACGCACAUUGCGCCCUUUGGCAUUCCGAAGGGCAUGCCUGUUCGAGCGUCAUUAUCACCCCUCGGGCCCUGUGCUCGAUGUUGGACGGCUGGUUGGGCAACCGACCCCUCCUAAAGACAAUGACGGCGGCCUGUGGCGCCCCCGGUACACUGAGCUUUUCACGGAGCACGUACCGGACGAGGGCGCCCGGGACCCGGUCCUCUCCUUUCACUAGGAACCUUCUCAAGGUUGACCUCGGAUCAGGUAGGAAUACGCGCUGAACUUAAGCAUAUCAAUAAGCGCAGGAAAAGAAACCAACAGGGAUUACCUCAGUAACGGCGAGUGAAGCGGUAAUAGCUCAAAUUUGAAAUCUGGCCUCUCGGGGGUCCGAGUUGUAAUUUGUAGAGGACGUUUUGGGUACCGCCCCGGUCUAAAUUUCUUGGAACAGAAUGUCAUAGAGGGUGAGAAUCCCGUCUUGGACCGGCGGUAGGGCCUGUGUAAAACUCCUUCGACGAGUCGAGUUGUUUGGGAAUGCAGCUCAAAAUGGGUGGUAAAUUUCAUCUAAAGCUAAAUAUUGGCCAGAGACCGAUAGCGCACAAGUAGAGUGAUCGAAAGAUGAAAAGCACUUUGAAAAGAGAGUUAAACAGUAUGUGAAAUUGUUGAAAGGGAAGCGCUUGCAACCAGACUUGAGCGCGGCGGUUCCCCCGGCCUUUUGGCCGGGCUACUCCGCCGUGUCCAGGCCAACAUCGGUUCUGAGGGUCGGUCAAAGGCCCCGGGAAUGUAUCUACCCACGGGUAGACUUAUAGACCGGGGUGUCAUGCGGCCCCUCGGGACCGAGGAACGCGCUUCGGCUCGGAUGUUGGCGUAAUGGUUGUCAGCGACCCGUCUUGAAACACGGACCAAGGAGUCUAACAUCUAUGCGAGUGUUUGGGUGUCAAACCCGGAACGCGAAAUGAAAGUGAACGGAGGUAGGAAGCUUCGGCUGCACUAUCGACCGAUCCUGAAGUUUACGGAAGGAUUUGAGUAAGAGCAUAGCUGUUGGGACCCGAAAGAUGGUGAACUAUGCCUGAAUAGGGUGAAGCCAGAGGAAACUCUGGUGGAGGCUCGCAGCGGUUCUGACGUGCAAAUCGAUCGUCAAAUUUGGGUAUAGGGGCGAAAGACUAAUCGAACCAU
This 2130-nucleotide ribosomal RNA is filed under the name Chaetothyriales sp. MP-2014. Its description in RNAcentral is "eukaryotic LSU rRNA". The stretch from base 1208 to 2130 matches the Rfam family "Eukaryotic large subunit ribosomal RNA", at positions 1 to 943 of the family's 3401-position model. The record is from RNAcentral. Lineage: Eukaryota; Fungi; Ascomycota; Eurotiomycetes; Chaetothyriales.